RNAcentral lists this ribosomal RNA (443 nucleotides) under uncultured bacterium. Its description in RNAcentral is "partial 16S ribosomal RNA". It matches the Rfam family "Bacterial small subunit ribosomal RNA", at positions 338 to 795 of the family's 1533-position model. The record is from RNAcentral.
CCUACGGGAGGCUGCAGUGGGGAAUAUUGGGCAAUGGGCGCAAGCCUGACCCAGCAACGCCGCGUGAAGGAAGAAGGCUUUCGGGUUGUAAACUUCUUUUCUCAGGGACGAAGAAAGUGACGGUACCUGAUGAAUAAGCCACGGCUAACUACGUGCCAGCAGCCGCGGUAAUACGUAGGUGGCAAGCGUUAUCCGGAUUUAUUGGGUGUAAGGGGCGUGUAGGCGGGAGCGCAAGUCAGAUGUGAAAACUCAGGGCUCAACCCUGAGCCUGCAUUUGAAACUGUGUUUCUUGAGUGCUGGAGAGGCAAUCGGAAUUCGGGGUGUAGCGGUGAAAUGCGUAGAUAUACGGAGGAACACCAGUGGCGAAGGCGGAUUGCUGGACAGUAACUGACGCUGAGGCGCGAAAGCGUGGGGAGCAAACAGGAUUAGAUACCCGUGUAGUC